UACGGAGGGUGCAAGCGUUACUCGGAAUUACUGGGCGUAAAGGGUGCGUAGGCGGUUUGUUAAGUCUGCUGUGAAAUCCCCGGGCUCAACCUGGGAAUGGCAGUGGAUACUGGCAAGCUAGAGUGCGGUAGAGGGUAGUGGAAUUCCCGGUGUAGCAGUGAAAUGCGUAGAGAUCGGGAGGAACACCAGUGGCGAAGGCGGCUUCCUGGACCAGCACUGACACUGAAGCACGAAAGCGUGGGGAGCAAACAGG
This 253-nucleotide ribosomal RNA is filed under the name uncultured bacterium. Its description in RNAcentral is "partial 16S ribosomal RNA". It matches the Rfam family "Bacterial small subunit ribosomal RNA", at positions 524 to 776 of the family's 1533-position model. The record is from RNAcentral.